This 253-nucleotide ribosomal RNA is filed under the name uncultured bacterium. Its description in RNAcentral is "partial 16S ribosomal RNA". It matches the Rfam family "Bacterial small subunit ribosomal RNA", at positions 524 to 776 of the family's 1533-position model. The record is from RNAcentral.
UACGUAGGGGCCGAGCGUUGUCCGGAGUUACUGGGCGUAAAGCGCGCGCAGGCGGUCCUUUAAGUCUGAUGUGAAAGCCCACGGCUCAACCGUGGAGGGUCAUUGGAAACUGGGGGACUUGAGUACAGAAGAGAAGAGUGGAAUUCCACGUGUAGCGGUGAAAUGCGUAGAGAUGUGGAGGAACACCAGUGGCGAAGGCGACUCUUUGGUCUGUAACUGACGCUGAGGCGCGAAAGCGUGGGGAGCAAACAGG